CUGAUGCAGCCAUGCCGCGUGUGUGAAGAAGGCCUUCGGGUUGUAAAGCACUUUCAGCGAGGAGGAAAGGUUGGCGCCUAAUACCUGUCGGCUGUGACGUUACUCGCAGAAGAAGCACCGGCUAACUCCGUGCCAGCAGCCGCGGUAAUAC
RNAcentral lists this ribosomal RNA (151 nucleotides) under Aeromonas hydrophila. Its description in RNAcentral is "partial 16S ribosomal RNA". It matches the Rfam family "Bacterial small subunit ribosomal RNA", at positions 383 to 526 of the family's 1533-position model. Lineage: Bacteria; Pseudomonadati; Pseudomonadota; Gammaproteobacteria; Aeromonadales; Aeromonadaceae. The record is from RNAcentral.